RNAcentral lists this unclassified non-coding RNA (490 nucleotides) under Hevea brasiliensis (rubber tree). Lineage: Eukaryota; Viridiplantae; Streptophyta; Magnoliopsida; Malpighiales; Euphorbiaceae. The record is from RNAcentral.
AUUACACCUAUGCUCUCGCAGGAUUUAAAUUAGGAAAAUCUCACGGGGAUAACUCGUUUAGCGAUGAAAAAGACCUCCUCCCUUCAUCAUAAAACUCGCUAUCAAUCCUUGGUGCAGAAUCCAUUCCCUGGAUGUGGAGAAUCUUGAGGACUUGCAAUUCUCCUGUUGUGGGGAGUCUUUCACAUCAUGGGCAAUAGAUUGACUCAAGCUCUGUCAGAUUGCUGAUAGUAACUAAAUGGGAAACUGAGUUCCCAGAAAUCCAUUUAUGAACAACCUUCUUAUACCAAGGUUAGGCUGCAGAAAAGAAAUCACAGCUUCUGCAUUAUUACUUCCAAAUACAUUUCUAUUUGUCUCGUCCCGGCAUGUAGCGAUUCUUUUUACCUGCAUCAAUUUUACCCCAUGAGUCCCAUUGAUUGAAGUUGCAUACCCUCUAAGAAGAGAGACUCUUUAUAAAAGAAGCAAGGUUGAUUUAUUUCAGAUUCAUUAUCUG